UACGGAGGGGGCUAGCGUUGUUCGGAAUUACUGGGCGUAAAGCGCACGUAGGCGGCUUUGUAAGUUAGAGGUGAAAGCCCGGAGCUCAACUCCGGAAUUGCCUUUGAAACUAGGUGACUUGAAUCAUGGAGAGGUCAGUGGAAUUCCGAGUGUAGAGGUGAAAUUCGUAGAUAUUCGGAAGAACACCAGUGGCGAAGGCGGCUGACUGGACAUGUAUUGACGCUGAGGUGCGAAAGCGUGGGGAGCAAACAGG
RNAcentral lists this ribosomal RNA (253 nucleotides) under uncultured bacterium. RNAcentral describes it as "partial 16S ribosomal RNA". It matches the Rfam family "Bacterial small subunit ribosomal RNA", at positions 524 to 776 of the family's 1533-position model. The record is from RNAcentral.